GAGAAGAUGGCCGAGAGGUUGAAAGCGGCAAUUUGCUAACAAUUUGCUAAAUUGUUAUAUUUACAAAAUAAAAAAUAAUUUCGAAGAUAUCAUAGGUUCGAAUCCUAUUCUUCUCAC
Molecule: transfer RNA, 117 nt
Filed under: Xiphosiphonia pinnulata
Lineage: Eukaryota; Rhodophyta; Florideophyceae; Ceramiales; Rhodomelaceae
Description: tRNA-Ser
Rfam family: tRNA
About the family: Transfer RNA (tRNA) molecules are approximately 80 nucleotides in length. Their secondary structure includes four short double-helical elements and three loops (D, anti-codon, and T loops).
Source: RNAcentral